UGGUGGGUAGUUUGACUGGGGCGGUCUCCUCCUAAAGAGUAACGGAGGAGCACGAAGGUUGGCUAAUCCUGGUCGGACAUCAGGAGGUUAGUGCAAUGGCAUAAGCCAGCUUGACUGCGAGCGUGACGGCGCGAGCAGGUGCGAAAGCAGGUCAUAGUGAUCCGGUGGUUCUGAAUGGAAGGGCCAUCGCUCAACGGAUAAAAGGUACUCCGGGGAUAACAGGCUGAUACCGCCCAAGAGUUCAUAUCGACGGCGGUGUUUGGCACCUCGAUGUCGGCUCAUCACAUCCUGGGGCUGAAGUAGGUCCCAAGGGUAUGGCUGUUCGCCAUUUAAAGUGGUACGCGAGCUGGGUUUAGAACGUCGUGAGACAGUUCGGUCCCUAUCUGCCGUGGGCGCUGGAGAACUGAGGGGGGCUGCUCCUAGUACGAGAGGACCGGAGUGGACGCAUCACUGGUGUUCGGGUUGUCAUGCCAAUGGCACUGCCCGGUAGCUAAAUGCGGAAGAGAUAAGUGCUGAAAGCAUCUAAGCACGAAACUUGCCCCGAGAUGAGUUCUCCCUGAGACUUUAGGUCUCCUGAAGGAACGUUGAAGACGACGACGUUGAUAGGCCGGGUGUGUAAGCGCAGCGAUGCGUUGAGCUAACCGG
RNAcentral lists this ribosomal RNA (645 nucleotides) under Salmonella enterica. RNAcentral describes it as "partial 23S ribosomal RNA". It matches the Rfam family "Bacterial large subunit ribosomal RNA", at positions 2259 to 2898 of the family's 2925-position model. RNAcentral also lists the same sequence under 1 other name. The record is from RNAcentral. Lineage: Bacteria; Pseudomonadati; Pseudomonadota; Gammaproteobacteria; Enterobacterales; Enterobacteriaceae.